This is a non-coding RNA of Pangasius djambal, 72 nucleotides long. Lineage: Eukaryota; Metazoa; Chordata; Actinopteri; Siluriformes; Pangasiidae. The record is from the annotation of a GenBank genome assembly.
GACCUUGUGGUGCAGCGGUAGUGCGUCUGACUCCAGAGGGCAUGGUUGCGUGUUCAAAUCUUGUCAAGGACU